RNAcentral lists this ribosomal RNA (254 nucleotides) under uncultured bacterium. RNAcentral's name for it is "partial 16S ribosomal RNA". It matches the Rfam family "Bacterial small subunit ribosomal RNA", at positions 524 to 776 of the family's 1533-position model. The record is from RNAcentral.
UACGAAGGGGGCUAGCGUUGCUCGGAAUCACUGGGCGUAAAGCGCACGUAGGCGGCUUCUUAAGUCAGGGGUGAAAUCCUGGAGCUCAACUCCAGAACUGCCUUUGAUACUGGGGAGCUUGGAGUCCGGAAGAGGUGAGUGGAACUGCGAGUGUAGAGGUGAAAUUCAUAGAUAUUCGCAAGAACACCAGUGGCGAAGGCGGCUCACUGGCCCGUUACUGACGCUGAGGCACGAAAGCGUGGGGAGCAAACAGG